This is a non-coding RNA of Hordeum vulgare subsp. vulgare (domesticated barley), 136 nucleotides long. The record is from Rfam. Lineage: Eukaryota; Viridiplantae; Streptophyta; Magnoliopsida; Poales; Poaceae.
AAUGCACUCCCUCCGUCUUAAAUUUUUUGUCUUAGAUUGGUUUUGAUAUGAAUGUAUCUAGUAAUGUUUUGGUAUUUAGAUACAUUUAUUUCUAGACAAACAUAAGACAAGAAUUUUAAGAUAAAGGAAGUACUUA